UGGUGUUGAAACUCCUAUGGAAACACCUCAACCCAUCUCGAAUUUGAUGGUUAAAUAUAGGAGCGGUGAAAAUACUACAAGGGAAGCCUUGUGGGAAAGCAGUCGAACGCUAGAA
Molecule: ribosomal RNA, 115 nt
Filed under: Pseudobryopsis hainanensis
Lineage: Eukaryota; Viridiplantae; Chlorophyta; Ulvophyceae; Bryopsidales; Pseudobryopsidaceae
Source: RNAcentral